AAUUUUGGAUAAUUGGCGCAAGCCUGAUCGAGCCAUGCCGCGUGAGUGAUUAAGGCCUUCGGGUUGUAAAGCUCCUUCGGUGGUAAUGAAAGCGCGCAGGCUAUUACCCGGCGCGGAUGACGGUACCGUCAUAAGACUCAGUGUCUUACUACGUCCCAGAAGCCGCGGUAAUACGUAAGGUGCGAGCGUUAAGCGGAAUUACUGGGCGUAAAGCGUGCGCAGGCGGUUGAUUAAGACAGGCGUGAAAUCCCCGGGCUUAACCUGGGAACUGCGCUUGUGACUGGUCAGCUAGAGUACGGCAGAGGGGGGUGGAAUUCCACGUGUAGCAGUGAAAUGCGUAGAGAUGUGGAGGAACACCGAUGGCGAAGGCAGCCCCCUGGGCCGAUACUGACGCUCAUGCACGAAAGCGUGGGUAGCAAACAGG
Molecule: ribosomal RNA, 424 nt
Filed under: uncultured bacterium
Lineage: Bacteria
Description: partial 16S ribosomal RNA
Rfam family: Bacterial small subunit ribosomal RNA
Source: RNAcentral